GGGGUACAUCGAGUUUUUGACGCAAGUUGCGCCCGAAGCCAUUAGGCCGAGGGCACGUCUGCCUGGGCGUCA
RNAcentral lists this ribosomal RNA (72 nucleotides) under Dracocephalum hoboksarensis. RNAcentral describes it as "partial 5.8S ribosomal RNA". The record is from RNAcentral. Lineage: Eukaryota; Viridiplantae; Streptophyta; Magnoliopsida; Lamiales; Lamiaceae.